RNAcentral lists this ribosomal RNA (593 nucleotides) under uncultured bacterium. Its description in RNAcentral is "bacterial SSU rRNA". It matches the Rfam family "Bacterial small subunit ribosomal RNA", at positions 338 to 948 of the family's 1533-position model. The record is from RNAcentral.
CCUACGGGAGGCAGCAGUGGGGAAUCUUGCGCAAUGGGCGAAAGCCUGACGCAGCAACGCCGCGUGCGGGAAGAAGGCUUUCGGGCUGUAAACCGCUUUCAGCAGGAACGAAAAUGACGGUACCUGCAGAAGAAGGAGCGGCCAACUAUGUGCCAGCAGCCGCGGUGAUACAUAGGCUUCAAGCGUUGUCCGGAUUUAUUGGGCGUAAAGAGUUCGUAGGCGGUCAAGUAAGUCGGGUGUGAAAAUUCUGGGCUCAACCCAGAGACGCCACCCGAUACUGCUUAACUUGAGUUCGAUAGGGGAGUGGGGAAUUCCUAGUGUAGCGGUGAAAUGCGCAGAUAUUAGGAGGAACACCGGUGGCGAAGGCGCCACUCUGGAUCGAUACUGACGCUGAGGAACGAAAGCAUGGGUAGCAAACAGGAUUAGAUACCCUGGUAGUCCAUGCCGUAAACGGUGGGCACUAGGUGUGGGUUUCUAUUAACGAAAUCCGCGCCGUCGCUAACGCAUUAAGUGCCCCGCCUGGGGAGUACGGUCGCAAGACUUAAAACCNCAAANAGAAUAGAGCGNGAGAGUGCGAGACGACACGAGGAGAG